Molecule: non-coding RNA, 937 nt
Organism: Rattus norvegicus (Norway rat)
Lineage: Eukaryota; Metazoa; Chordata; Mammalia; Rodentia; Muridae
Source: RefSeq, a predicted model, not a curated record
AGAGCAUAAAACAAAAGCAAUUGUAGAAGGAGGUGCAUACACAACACCAUUAGUUAGGAAAAAGCAAAUAUUGCCAGAAAUAUGUCAUAGUCAGCGGGCUAAGGAAGAACUAUUGUAGCUCUGGAUAAUACUUGAAUCAAGGCUGCAGGAUCCAGGAAUAAAUACAUUUCCAGUGUUCCACUGACUUGUUUUUCUGUGGCUUAAUGGAAAGGGGAGGUAAACACAUUUUUCUGCCAUCCACUGGUGAUUAUUCUACUUUCCCAGGAAGCCAGGAAGGCAGGGGUGUUAUAUGAAUCAGCCACACUGAUGGAGAUCUCCAAGGAAAUAGCAGCCUAUGUAGGACAUCUCUCUGCUAACUGGAUCUAAUUCCAUUCUCUAUUUUAAUACAGGACCUCCAGCAAUCUGAUGCAAGGAAAGCAAAUAAAUUCAUCCUCAGUUCAUUGCCAAGCAUCUUUUCAGAGGAGUCGUGUGAAAUUUAGGAAAAUCAAUACAUCAUCUCAGGAAAAUCUCCACCUUGGUAUAUUGUACAAAAGAGAAAGAGAUACAGAAAUUUACCCAUUGACCUUGCACUAGUGCAUAACUAGUGGAGACCUGCGCUUUUCCUGUUAUUUGAACUGUCUUUAGAGAUCAGAAGAUCAUGUGUCUGAGGUCACUGCUAAGCACCUGUUCAGAGGAACCAUGUGCAAUUUAUAGUAAUCCAUACAUCAUCUCAGGAAGUUCUCCACCUCGAUAUCACAUACUGUAUAAAAGAGAGAAUCACCCAGUAAUUUACAUUGUGACUUUGCAUUAAUAGAUACUGAGAGACUUAUGAUUACCUUGUUAUUUGCAUUGUCAUUAGAAAUCAGGAGAUCAGGUGUCUGUGGUAUGUACUGGAUAUUUAUGAAACUGUAUUACUUUAAUUCAGCUAUUCCUGGUAGUAGUAAACACCCUACAACUC